RNAcentral lists this ribosomal RNA (484 nucleotides) under uncultured bacterium. RNAcentral's name for it is "partial 16S ribosomal RNA". It matches the Rfam family "Bacterial small subunit ribosomal RNA", at positions 30 to 507 of the family's 1533-position model. The record is from RNAcentral.
AUUGAACGCUGGCGGCAGGCCUAACACAUGCAAGUCGAGCGGAUGCAGGGGGCUUGCUCCCGCAUGCAGCGGUAGACGGGUGGAUAAUGCCUAGGAAUCUGCCUGGAAGCGGGGGAUAAGGUGCUAAAACGGGCGCAUAUACCCCAAACGUCCUGAGGGCGAAUGUGGGGGAUCUUCGGAUCUCACGCCUUUAUAUUAGCGUAGGUCCGAUUAGCUAGUUGGCGGGGUAAAGGCCUACCAAGGCGACGAUCCGUAACUGGUCUGAGAGGAUGAUCAGUCAGACUGGAACUGAGAAACGGUCCAGACUCCUACGGGAGGCAGCAGUGGAGAAUAUUGGGCAAAGGGCGAAAGCCUGAUCCAGCCAAACCGCGUGAGUGAAGAAGGACCUCGGAUUGUAAAGCACUUAAGGUUGGAAGGAAGUGAAGCAAGUUAAUACCGUGCUGUUUUGACGGUACCAACAGAAUAAGCUCCGGCUAACUUCGUG